Long non-coding RNA from Neltuma alba, 207 nucleotides. RefSeq lists it as uncharacterized. Lineage: Eukaryota; Viridiplantae; Streptophyta; Magnoliopsida; Fabales; Fabaceae. The record is from RefSeq and is a predicted model, not a curated record. The transcript has 3 exons.
CCCAUGUUACUCAAAAUGCCUCUAGCCCUUCUACAAAUCAAGAUACAGAAGAAUCACAAGACGCGGAGACUGAAUCUAGCAUGAGUCUGUCAAGGCCAGCCACAACUUUCAACGAUAAAGAAAGUUUAGCUGAGGGGACUCAAGGGAUUGGUGAGAACAUUGAAAGGCCAUUGGUUGAAGCUGCUAAAAUUGCUCCUAGCCCCACAG